Molecule: ribosomal RNA, 264 nt
Filed under: uncultured prokaryote
Description: partial 16S ribosomal RNA
Rfam family: Bacterial small subunit ribosomal RNA
Source: RNAcentral
UACGUAGGUGGCAAGCGUUGUCCGGAUUUACUGGGUGUAAAGGGCGUGUAGGCGGGCUGUCAAGUCAGAUGUGAAAUCUAUGGGCUUAACCCAUAACGUGCAUUUGAAACUGAUAGUCUUGAGUGAUGGAGAGGCAGGCGGAAUUCCUAGUGUAGCGGUGAAAUGCGUAGAUAUUAGGAGGAACACCAGUGGCGAAGGCGGCUUCCUGGUCUGUAACUGACACUGAGGCGCAAAGCGUGGGGAGCAAACAGGAUUAGAUACCCU